Molecule: long non-coding RNA, 2668 nt
Filed under: Homo sapiens (human)
Lineage: Eukaryota; Metazoa; Chordata; Mammalia; Primates; Hominidae
Description: HSALNT0403794
Source: RNAcentral
AGUCUCCAGCUACCUUUGCCUCCUGCGGCCGCCCCCAGGCAGAGCUGCGAUCCCACCGCCGGGGGUGCAGGGAGAGGGAAGAUCUGGCCUCCUUGGUCCUUUUGCGUGGGCUCUUCAGAGCGUGAGCGCCGGGGAGGGACUCCGGAGAAAAGCUUGGGGGGCUGCGUAUUGCUGCUCCCCAAGCUGGGCGUCAGGACCAACCCCGCCGCCCCCACGGGCCUGACGGGAGAGGAGGAAGGGCUCGGGACGGUCGGCUCGCCGAGCCAACCAGGUGGCGCCUGAAGAGCUGUCCAUGGUGUCGACAGCCCAGCAAACGGCACCGAGUUCCUAGUCUGAGUGUCUGGAUAGGUAGCAGAAGAAAAACUAAUGCCUGCUCUGGGACAGUUCUGUUCGGUGCCUUUUCUUGUGUGUUCUGGAGCUCACAGGGUUCUAUCGAAGAGUGCUUAGGUGUAUACGAUGGAGAGUGGGACGUCACAAACCAGGAUCUCAAGGCUGAGUCCAACAAAACAUGGCCGUAGGGAGGCCACGACAGCUGUGGUUGUCACCGACGGAUGAAUAGCUUUUGCCAACCGUGGAAUUUAGUAACUAAAGGCACCUAACCCUUUUAUCUCAUCCUCAUUUUUCAACAAAUGGUGCUUCCUGGCUAAUAUCAGCGUGUCCCAUAGAUUUCUGCUUCCAUUGAAUAGACCUAAUAAGAAAGAGAAUGAAGUCAAAGCCAACAGGGCAGAAAGAAAUUGAAAACCUGAAGAACCCAGCACUCAAACUGUCUCCACUUGCGUUUGCUUUUUCUUUACCUCUUCUCCUUCUGGUUUUCAACAGCCAAAGCAGGAUUUAAAUUUGGUUAUGUUGCAAAAAUCAUUUCCCUCUUCAGGCCCUGUCAUGUGACUUGAUUUUUUCGUCCAUUUUAGAGAAGCUGUACCCACCCUGGUUUCAGGACACGGAACUAAAUUUAUUAGAAAAGAAGCCACUUCAAGUCAUGAAGGAGAAACACAAAGAUUCUUGGAUUUAGUUCUAAGAACUAGAGGGGAUUUCUAUGUCAGUACUGUCUCAGAAAAAACUGUUGAUAUCAAAUGUGUUGCUUGAGAAGUACCUUUUUUUUUUUGAGACGGAGUCUCGCUCUGUCCGCCCAGGCUAGAGUGCAGUGGCGCGAUCUCGGCUCACUGCAAGCUCCGCCUCCCGGGUUCACGCCGUUCUCCUGCCUCAGCCUCCCGAGUAGCUGGGAUUACAGGUGCCCACCACCACGCCCGGCUAAUUUUUGUAUUUUUAGUAGAGACAGGGUUUCACCGUGUUAGCCAGGAUGGUCUCGAUCUCCUGACCUCGUGAUCCACCCGCCUCGGCCUCCCAAAGUGCUGGGAUAACAGGCGUGAGCCAUCGCGCCCGGCCGAGAGGUACCUUUUAUGACAACUGAAAUCAUUCAGUUUCAAGAGGAGUUGGGUACUGAAACCAAACUUGCUUACUCCAAAGCCCAAAAUCCUUUCCACCAUGCCUGUGUGUCUGUAAGGCUACACUAGAAAUGCUUCCUUUCUUAUAGUGGGAAGCAUGGGUACUAAGCUCUUUUACGAACAAGUGUUCUGCAUAUUCCUGGUUCCUUUUUAUUUUGGACUGAGGAGAUUUAGGUCAAAAUUUCUGGGUUCUGGGUUGGAAUUCCAGCUUCUUUCUUCAAAUUAAACUGGGGGGUAGCAAGACUUAUUCCUAGAUUUGUUAGAAGGCCACAGCUUUUCCACAUCUCAUUUUAGUCAUGAAAAAGACACAUGCCCAGAGUUUGAAAAACAUAAAGGCAAUUUGACUAGUGGCUUGAUUGGUUCUAUCUUCUUUUUCUUGUCCCUCUUUCCUAUUUAUACUUCUACUUUUGUUACAGCAUUUGACAAUAGUUGGAAAAAUUUUCACUGACCUUGAAAUGUCUUUGGGAUAGGGUGACUUAAAAUAUAGGUUAAGUGGCAUACACAAACUUCUUAGUGAGAUCCUAAGGGCCUACAGAGACAGGCUGACACCAACUCAACCCUUGAAACUGUGCAAUGAAGAGCCUGUGGGAGGCUAAAAAACGCUACUUCAAAAAGAGAUCCUUGUCUGUGAAUGUUAAUUUAGGUUUACAGAUUUGAUUAAGGGUCUUGAGAUUAUUUUCAAUUAUCCAGGUGGGCCCUAGAGCCCUAGAUGCAAUCAUAAGUGUCCUUAUAACAGGGAGGCAGAGGAAAAUUAAACACGCACACAGGAGAGAGAGAGAGAGAAAAAAAAGUGAUGUGAAGACAGCAGCAGAGAUUGGAGCGAUGUGGCCAUAGCCAAGCUAUGUCAGCAGCCAUCAGAAGUUGGAAGAGGCAAGGAAGGAUUUGAGCCUAGAGCCUUUGGAAGGAGCAUGGCCCUGUUGGUUCUGGCCUCCAGAACUGCAAGAAAAUACAUUUUUGUUGUUUUAAACCACCCAGUUCAUGGUAAUUUGUAACACCAGCUACAAGAAAUUAACACAAGGCUGAUGUGACUUUCCAUCAGGAGAGAGACAGCCCCAGCCACCCUGUGAAGACGUGCCUUUCGUCAAGAUUGUAAGUUUCCUGAGGCCUUCCCACCCAUGCGGAACUAUUCAUGAACCAUUGUUUGGGGAAACAAUUGAUUACCUGUGGAGAAGAAAGACGUAAAAUAAAAUAGUUAAGACAGAAUAAAUUAAAGUAUUAAAAGCAAA